GACGAACGCUGGCGGCGUGCUUAACACAUGCAAGUCGAACGGAAAGGCCCUGCUUUUGUGGGGUGCUCGAGUGGCGAACGGGUGAGUAACACGUGAGUAACCUGCCCUUGACUUUGGGAUAACUUCAGGAAACUGGGGCUAAUACCGGAUAGGAGCUCCUGCUGCAUGGUGGGGGUUGGAAAGUUUCGGCGGUUGGGGAUGGACUCGCGGCUUAUCAGCUUGUUGGUGGGGUAGUGGCUUACCAAGGCUUUGACGGGUAGCCGGCCUGAGAGGGUGACCGGCCACAUUGGGACUGAGAUACGGCCCAGACUCCUACGGGAGGCAGCGGUGGGGAAUAUUGCACAAUGGGCGGAAGCCUGAUGCAGCAACGCCGCGUGCGGGAUGACGGCCUUCGGGUUGUAAACCGCUUCCGCCUGUGACGAAGCGUGAGUGACGGUAAUGGGUAAAGAAGCACCGGCUAACUACGUG
RNAcentral lists this ribosomal RNA (468 nucleotides) under uncultured bacterium. RNAcentral's name for it is "partial 16S ribosomal RNA". It matches the Rfam family "Bacterial small subunit ribosomal RNA", at positions 28 to 507 of the family's 1533-position model. The record is from RNAcentral.